Molecule: long non-coding RNA, 5988 nt
Filed under: Sus scrofa (pig)
Lineage: Eukaryota; Metazoa; Chordata; Mammalia; Artiodactyla; Suidae
Description: lncRNA (ENSSSCG00015052483.1)
Source: RNAcentral
UUUUUUUCUAGGGCCGCUCCCCCGGCAUAUGGAGGUUCCCAGGCUAGGGGUCCAGUCGGAGCUGUUGCCCCCGGCCUACACCAGAGCCUCAGCAAUGCGGGAUCUGAGCCACAUCUGCAACCUACACCACAGCUCAUAGCAACACAGGAUCCUUAACCCACUGAGCAAGGCCAAGGAUCGAACCCGCAACCUCAUGGUUCCUAGUCAGAUUCGUUAACCACUACGCCACGAUGGGAACUCCAAAAAUAUUUCUAUUAAAUAAGCAUAUUCACAAUUUUUAAAAUUUCUUAUGCAAUUACCUGGGUUAGAUAUGCACCUAGGAAGUUGGUCAAAUCAUUAGAUCAAAAAAGAAAAAUGUGUAAAUAUUGUCUUGAUUCAGAAUAAAUCAUGGUGAUGAAUAAAUCAGGAUACCAGACAGAUGCCAUUUAUCAAAUACCAAAUAUCAAGGCACAAUACUAAGCACUCUACAAAUAACAUUAUCUCAUUCUAUCCUUAUGAAAGGAAUGACUAUUUAUUUAAAAAUAGGACUUCCCUUGUGGUGCAGCAGGUUAAGGAUCUGGCAUUGUCAACUACAACAUCUUGAUUUGCUACAGUGACACAAGUUUGAUCCUUGCUCUGGGAACUUCCAGAUGCCAUAGAUGUGGCCAAAAAAAUAAAUAAAUAAAAGGUCUUAGAGGGAGUUCCCUGGUGGCUUGGCAGGUUAAGAAUCCAGGUCAGGGUGAUCACUGACCCUGGAACUUCUGUAUACCAUGGGCACAACCAAAAAAGAACUUUUUAAAUAAAGUCUUAGAAAAGUUAACUAAUUUGACCAGAGCAAUAAAUUAGGUCAGGAUUCAGACUAUACUGCCAUUGCUUAUAUAGCAGAGGCUCAACAGAAGAAAAUUCAAAAUCAAAUUAGCUAAUGAAUAAAACAGACUUAUUCAGGUAGGGUUUUUUGGGGUUUUUUUUUUUGGUGGAGGGGAGAAAGCAAGACAGCAUGAUGCAAAGGAAGUUUAAACAAAUAGAAAGAAUUUAGGGAACUGCUUGUGGAUUUUCACUGAUUUGAGAAUUCCAUGUUCCGAGUUGGUGGCCCAUGGCAUAAUUAUCUAUGAUAAACCAGUCUUUUCCUCCAGUUAUCGGUGGCCUAGUUUUCUGAUGACUUUUUCUUAAUAUUGAGUGUUUCCAAAUUUUAUUUAUUUAUUUAUUUAUUGCUUUUUUAGGGCCGCACCCACAGCAUAUGGAGGUUCCCAGGCUAGGGGUCUGAUCGGAGCUACAGCUGCCAACCUACGCCACAGCCACAGAAAUGCCAGAUGCAAGCCAUGUCUGCAGACUACACCACAGCUCAUGGCAAUGCAGGAUCCUUACCCACUCAGUGAGGCUAGAGAUCGAACUUGCAACCUUAUGGUUCCUAGUUGGAUUGUUUCCACUACGCUACGAUGGGAACUCCUCAAAUUUAUUUUAUAUGUUAUUCUUUACAUGAACCUUGUGAAGAAAGCAGGCCCAAAUGGCAUCACUUUAUAGAUUAAAAUACUCAGGCGCACAGUGUUUAGCUGAUCACUUUCACAUCCUACAAAACAAAAUUGGAAAAUCAAGGAUGAAAAUUUGAUUGUUAUGGAACUGCUAGACCUCGACUUUUAUCUCACCCAUAGUGUCCCCACAGAGAAGAAGAAAAUAUUCUUGUACAAAAUAACCCUCUAAAUGUAGAGGAGAGCUAGAGAAACUGGGUCGAAAGGAAAAUCUGAAGAAAUGAUUGUUCUGAAGAAAACCAAGCCCUUGGUUCUGAGACCAAAGGAAAUGGAUUGAAACCUGGGUACAAUAAAGUGUACAUCUCAGGAACAAUGUUUACAGAUGAGACAGCUAUAAAAUGGUACUGGAGAGGGCCCAACACCCAAAACACCGUAGGGGACCCGCCUGGUCACACUAUGCACAGAGACAGCCCUCCAGCUCUGGCUCCUAUGACCGAGUCUGAACUCAGAGGAGGCACUUGACCUCUCUAUACCUUGGUGUCCCCACAUACAAGACGGGAUGCUUACAGAUAAAUCACAAGGUUGCACAAGUGCACCUCUUAUUUUAUUUAUUUAUUUAUUUAUUUAUUUGCUUUUUAGAGCCACACCUGCAGUACAUGGAAGUUCCCAGGCUAGGGCUUGAAUCGGAGCUACAGCUGCCAACCUGUACCACAGCCAUAGCAACUCGGGAUCCAAGCCAAGUCUGUGAACUACACCACAGCUCACAGCAACACCGGAUCCUUAACCCACUGAGUGAGGCCGGGAAUCGAACCCACAUCCUCAUGGAUACUAGUCUGGUUCGUUGUCACUGAGCCACAAUGGCAACUCCAGUGCACCCCUUGGUUUAAAUGGCACAGGUUUAGAACAGCCUACAGGAAAAAACAUUAAAGAAUCAAAACUUUUUGGCUUCCUGAAGCUUUAAGCCCACAAGAAUAUUAUAGAAAUAUCUGAGUUCUAGAACUCCAGAAGAAAAUCCACUAUCCUACAUAGACUCUCUAAAACAUGAAUUUGGAGGGAUCUGGAAUAGAGGGAAAACAUACACUCAUAGAGUCAGUAGGAAAUGGUUUGACAUAACCUGCUCAGUAGAGGAAAGAAAUGCAAAAGUUAAAUAAGGGAGGCAAGAAUGUUGGUAGUCCAUCUGUAACCCUGCAUUUAAUACAUAGAAUUAUAUUAUCUGGUCCGUUGUAACAUUCUAAAUAUAUAUAUAUAUACAAAUAUAAAUAUAUAUCCAUAUAUAGUAUAUGCUUUCUAUUUUUCCAUAUAUAUUUAUUCAUAUUUUUGUGUACAAACACACACUAAAAUAUCUUUUGGCGACAUCCCUAAGAAUGCAAUCUUUUCUGGAAUGCCUCCAUUACCAACGAUGGUGGUUUUGGCAUUUCAUUGAAUUUUCGCAUUCUCUCAAUACGAUGCAUAUUGAGUCUAAAUAGCCCAGGACAUUCAAUGAAUCUUUAUUAUUUUGUCCUCCAUACUGUUCACACCACAUUCUCAACAAUAAAAGUAUUGUGCAUGAAUCCAACAGUCAUUUAAAAGGUGUGUAUCACCAACAGAUUUAAGUGAUUUACUGGAUCUGAUGUUAUUCAAUAGGAACAUUUCAGUCAAACUGAAAAGACCAGCUUUAUUCUUUUCAUUUUCAGAAUUCAUUAAUUUUAAUGACAUUUAGAAAUGCAGAAUGACCACAGCAUUGAGCCACUAAUUCUUCUGAAAUAUGAAUUUUCAAAAUUAGCAUUUGAAGAGGAAACUAUCACUAUCACACAGAAACCUUUAUUGGAGGUCUUGGGUGGCUGAAGCAGAGUCUGAAUUAUUUUUACAACACAUAAAGAGGCAUAGCAAAGUUAUCCCUACAAGGAUUCAUGGCUAAUUAAAAAUUUCAAAUUGUAUAAUCUGGAAAUUAGUGUUUGCAGCAAAAUCAGCCACUCAACCUUGAACAUGGCAUUCUGCGUGUGCAGCUAUAAUGAGCUGUUUUUGUGCGGUGUGUGGUCCUUGACAUUUGUCAUAAUCCUCAGACCACCCAAAUAUAGCAAUCUGCUAUUUGGAAGACACCCUACAAGUUUCUCUUUCCUCUUCUUAAGGCCGUAUUUUUAAAGAGCCAUCAGUUAUCCGAAGCCUUCACUCAUCGUGCUAAUGGCUUCUAUAAAUACUCUGACAGAUCAUUCUUCUCUAAAUUGUCCAGCAAAGAAAGGAUAAGAAACGCAUCCUCAGAGGCUAUGGAGGGGCAUGAGCCUACUUCUCACCUCUGGUGAACAUGCCAAGAAAGCCACUGAGGACCCUACCCACUAGAAUUCCUUGUGUGCAAAAAUGCACAAGAAAUCCCAGUUUAAAAAGUGAUUAAAAAUGGGAGGCGGCAAUGAUUCUCCUGAACAUUUUUUUAGCCUUUCACAUCAUAAAGUUUAAAUGUGACUUAUCAUAAGAUUUCUUCAAGGACUCUAUUGAAAUGGAAGGUAUCAGUUUUAUCAUCCCCUUGAAUAAAGCCAACCCUUGGAAUAAGGUAAUCAGUUUUCAUCAUUGGUCAAAUUUCAACACCUACGCUCUCUUUUAUUCAGAAUAAAACUUGGAGUUCCAGCAAUCAUUUAAAAUCUAAGUUUAGGGAGUUCCCACUGUGGUCCAUUGAGUUAAUGAACUGGCAUUGCCACAGCUGUGGCAUAGGUUGCAGCUGCAACUCAGAUUCGAUCUCUGGCCCAGGAACUUCGAUCUGUCUCAGGUGCAGCAAAAAAAUAAUAAUGAUAAUAAAAUAAAACAAAACCUGAGUUUACAAGUCAUAGGUAAACACUACUUCUGAAUUCUACCUACUUUAUGGCAAUCUUCUCAACAAUAAGCAAUAAAAGAGUGGCAAAUGCAAACCAACAUUUGACAAUGAUUAGAGUGAACAUCUAAUUCAUCAUCUUAACUUCUGAGAUUGAAAUGGUGUGCUAUUAGUAAUUAUUAUAAUCAUUAACAGAGUUAUAAAUCCUAAUUAAUAUCAUUAUGAUAAUGAUUGCAAGACAGGAAGCGUAAACCAACACUGUCCCUCCUGAUGACCAAGUAGGCACUAGGCUGAGUCCAAGAUGUGCUUUGCUUCUGCUUUAAUUAUUUCACACUCACCACAUGGAUAUAUAACAGGUAUCAUUAUCCCUGUUUGACAGAUGAGAAAACUAAGUCUCAGAAAAAUUAAGUAAUUUAGUAGAUCAAGGAGCUGGGAUUUGAACACAGCUGCCCAUCUGGCUCAAAGCCUGAGCCUUUCCUGCUUUGUUGCUGUUGCUUUGAGUUACAAAAUAAUGUCCCUCUCCUCUUGAUAGCUGACAAAGAAGGAGUGUGCUACUCUUAUGUUCUCUUUCUCUGUAAGUAAAUAUAAGUAUAGCUACAGAAAAUAAACAUUGGUUAGAAGUCAAAGAGAUGGAAGACAAUUCUAGAAAAGAAGAUAAAUUUGGAAUUUUAAAAAUCCUUCUAAACCAAGUGACAAUAUUCACUUCCAGUUCAGUAGAACUAUUUUGGGGUUCCCCUGAGAAAUCAUUCUUCCCUUUGGAAGUUAAGGCCUCUAGACCAGCAGAGCCUUAAGUAGCAGUGACAGGAAGUACAACUUUCAGUAGUGGAUAUUGUGGGGUUGUAAUGAGCAAAGACACUCCUGUUUUCACCCCUUCAUUCCCAGAUGGGUGACUAUGGGAGGAAUAGCACUGUGUAUUGGAUGCCAAGUGAGAUCAUAUUUUGCCUCCGGGAGAACACUGUCCCACCCCAUGUGGCAUUGUCACCUAAUUGAUACCAUAACUCACUGUAUCAAAGGCUACUCCAACAUUUUACAAGCAAGCUGCUUCCUGAUGGUGGUGAACACAGUUAAGACCAGAGAAGUCCAUGGGCAUGGACCCCCUGGCUCCAUAUAAGUAUAAUUUGUUCCUUGCUGGGAAGUGCUAAUGUGUCAGAUGCUAUGACAUGGGUAAGGCAGACUAUGAGUUCACAAAUGGUGGGUUUUCCAGAAGCAUUGGAGGCAAGAGAAGCAAGUCCACACCCAGUGUGAUAAUCUAUUCCAGCAAGAAUGAAAUGCAGCCCCUUCCUCGAUGGAAGUGCUGCAGCUUAAUUAUCCUGCCACCACGUGGUUGGCCGAUCCCCUGGGGAAGUGUGUCCCAUUGCAGGCUCUGCGCUGGUCUCUGCGCUGGCAGAUGGAGCAUUCAGCAGGAGCUGCAGCCAUCUAGCCUCGGUGAGCAGACAUCUAUUUUGCUGAGCCCAUGUGCGCCCUUGAUCCCUGCCACCAUGGCCACUUGGGCAAGAUGAGGUACCUGGGGAAGGGAGACCCAUAUCAACAAAACAAAUCCUAUCAUCCAGUUCUGCUGAGGUCACAAGAGACACAGCUCUCAUAUACUCUGGGACCAUUUGUAGAGAUUUAUCCACAUAUUUUCCCCAGAUGUCAUUGUCACCAAUUUUCCAAUUGCAUCCCUUCCAACUCCCUAGUUCUGAGUUAGGACAAGAAAGCCAGGUCCCUCCAUCCCAUGCCGAUCAGUCAUUAGAAGGAGAUAUAUACUCCAAGGAGGGCAGUGGU